RNAcentral lists this ribosomal RNA (254 nucleotides) under uncultured bacterium. RNAcentral describes it as "partial 16S ribosomal RNA". It matches the Rfam family "Bacterial small subunit ribosomal RNA", at positions 524 to 776 of the family's 1533-position model. The record is from RNAcentral.
UACGUAGGGUGCAAGCGUUAUCCGGAAUUAUUGGGCGUAAAGAGCUCGUAGGCGGUGUGUCGCGUCGGCCGUGAAAACCUGUGGCUUAACUGCGGGCUUGCGGUCGAUACGGGCAUCACUGGAGUUCGGCAGGGGAGACUGGAAUUCCUGGUGUAGCGGUGAAAUGCGCAGAUAUCAGGAGGAACACCGGUGGCGAAGGCGGGUCUCUGGGCCGAUACUGACGCUGAGGAGCGAAAGCGUGGGGAGCGAACAGG